This is a long non-coding RNA of Dromaius novaehollandiae (emu), 8707 nucleotides long. RefSeq lists it as uncharacterized. The record is from RefSeq and is a predicted model, not a curated record. NCBI's taxonomy places the organism in Eukaryota, Metazoa, Chordata, Aves, Casuariiformes, Dromaiidae. The transcript has 2 exons.
AAAAUCAGCCUAUUGAUAUCACAGCUGAAAAUAUAAACUCGACAACCAAAGCCCAUUGCACAACGUGGACUGCGUAAGAGUUAAAAAUAGAUUCGACGUGCCUCCUACCUGCAUAAUAAAUAUUCCAUCAAAAUCCUGAGCAGUAUUGACAAACCACACAAGCACAGGGUCUGACUGCAUGAUCAGCUGUCUGUGUCUACGCUACACCCUGUUAACCACAAGCAGUGUUAGAGCUAAAUAUAUCUGCAAUGCAGAAAUGGUAGGUGCUAUGUGGUAUACAAUUCUGAUUAAUUAUAAAAUAUUUUUCUAUCCUAGAUAUAAUAAAUAAAAGAAAAUUUAGUGCUGAUCUUUUUUAGGCACCGAAUCUGUCUGACUUACAGAACAUAAAAGCUAUCCUAAGUAUACUGACCUAGAUAGCACUAAGAAGACUUAAGCAGCAAACAAGCAUACUCACUGUCAAAGCAAGGAAAAACGAAACAAUGAUUCUCUAAUCAAACUGAAAGCAACAGCUCACUACCACAGUAUGAAUUCCAAAAUGCUACGUACUGUAUAUGCACAUCUCAUGUUAGUGGGAGAUGCAAAGCUCCUUUGUUUUUUCUCAGAGGCUUUUCUUAGCUACGGUUGCACAAUGACAUUCUGACAUCAUGGAGGUCAAUGCAGCUACUAAAGUGCUGUCGUCUUUUUGAAGAAAAAAAUCAUUUUGGAAUAUCAAACCACAGCUGCAAAAAUAAUAAAAAUGAAUGUCACAUCACCUGCUUAACAUCUUUCUUUUACCUUCUGGGAUUAAUAGUAUGUACAUUGUUCAGCUGCAUACGUUAAAUUGGUAUCACCCUCUGCAGCGAUUGCAGGACUGUAACUGCGGGAAUUAAAUUUUUAUAAAUAAGUAGAUAGAAAUGUUAAAAAAAAAUGCUUCAUUCUCCAGAAAACUUAAAACUACAAUAAAAUAUUUGACAUGUAUAAUGAAAAAUAUACAAAGAAAAAAGCAUUAAAAACUGCUUAUCUGAAUUUUUUAAAAUGCCUAAUAGGCAAAACUGUUUUUAUUUUCACUGUCAGUAUGUCUCCAAAGGGAGAAUGAGAACACCGUAGCACAACUUACUACGAGCUGAAUUACAUUCCCAAAAGGCUAAACUAUCAGGUGAAGUAAAAUAAACCCUAAGGUCUAUCUGUUUAUAGAGAAUCCUUCCCACCCAUACACUUACAAUGAUUUCUUAUACCUUCCUUUUUUCUUUCUACCCCAAAUACCCCAAACAGAUAUCCAACACGUAGCCAGAAUGGUAAACAUUAAUGUGCCAGCUCUGAAACUAUUUCACUGAAAGAUUUCUUUAAGCAAAUAUUGUUUGCUUUAUGCAUAAGUGAAUAUAAAUAUUUUCUGACCAGCUACUGAAAUAGAUAUAGAUACUUGUGAGGCACGAUUUUUAUGGAGAAGCACUAUCUUUCAUUAGACCUGCCAAUACAGCUGGAAAGAAAGCAGCCAAAUUUUCAGAAACACAUUCUUUCUCGGGAAUCUAUGUAUCUCACUAAUUUUUUUUCCUAAAACAAUGCCUGUUUUUUAAAAGGGAAAACCAGUGAUAAUAAAUAUUGUGUUAAAUCAGAAAGUUCUGCACAGCAAUGACUUAAGAUUGCUACAUGUACAUAUUAUAUUUGAAUUACGUUCUUCUUAUACCCAAUAAACAAUCAGAUUUUUUUUUCCUUCUUUCUUUUUAAAUGACUAAGUAUAUAUAUAUUUAAUUUGGAGAUUUUUCUCUGUAAAAUUGUUUGGCAUUCUGUUCUCUUUGGUUUUAAAGGCUGGGAAUGAGCUGAUCCUAACAGUCAGUGCUUUAAAAUAUUCAGAAUCCCCUUCCAUAAAUAGCACAUCUGUCACACAGAAAUGGAACGCAGCCAGCGGAAAGGGAGACUAGACCAACACAAACAACUGCUAUUCCAAUUUAUGAUUACAAAAUAAGUUAGGACUUUAUCAAUCAUUUAUUUUAAUUUUUUGUUUGUUUUGAGCUUUUUACAGUUUAAAGCUGUCUAACUAUUUAGAUGCCACUAUAUAUCAACUUUAAAUUAAAAAUGUUAACUAUGAAUUCAUUUGAAGGUUUUUUAAUGUUCAUCUCUUAGCAAAACGUAUAUGAUAGGCCCACUCACGCCCAUUUUAAAAGCAUGGUAAAGUUCAUAUAAAGAGGGGAAGAUCUGGGCCUCAUGUAGCUGUCUACUGAACGGUUUACAAGAAAAUGUGACAGUACAAUUUUGCGAACCAAAUGCUAUGUUUGCUUUAGGGCAAUGAUUUUCUGCAAAAGGCAGAUUUCAGCAGGGUCUCACAACAAAUCUCUCUGGUCCUUCAUUCUUGGGGCCAGCAUUCUCAUUUUCACAGAGAAGUACUGUUCUGCCAGAGAGACAGCAAGGUGUUUUGGAUUCAGGGAGUAGUAAAAACCUCCCAGGAUCAAACAUGGCGGAGUAAUAAACAUCUCACACUGAACAGGGAAGUGAGCUUCUUCAAAACCCGUAUGCAUGCCUCUUGUUUUAAUCAGCCUUUUCCUGUGCUUAGUAAUAAUUUUCUAGGCUUAGAUUUGCGGUAGUUUUUCUUCAGACUCAACAUCGUUUCAGUCAAGAGAUCACAUUCUAGGCCUUUGUACAGCUUCGUAAAUAAACUGAGAACAUUUGCAUUUGCAGGUUGCACAAAGUAGGCCCAAAUUUUCCAGGUGGAGAUAGAUUCACACUGGAUGUCAUGUCUGGGUCAGAAACUGGGGUUUAAGCUCUAACCUGAUUUGCACCGAAACUGUUACAGUCCCAAGCCUAGGCAGUGGCUCUCCUGAUACUUGGUUUCAAAAUUCACACCUCAGCUGGGUCAGGAGUAUGUCAGCCCAUGCCAUGAGCUUGUGUCGGUUCUUUAUUCAAUCAGCUUAAAGGCAGGCUAUUUCAAGUAUCCUCACUGGUUCUCACAAGCCAUUUGUGUCGUGAAUCUUCUCCAGUUUGAAGCUUCCUGCUUGCAAACAUGCUUCAUGUCCCUCUGUUUAUCACAACUCUAGGGUAACACCUAAUCUCCCCUCACAUGUGAUCACUUAUUGAAGUUGGGGAGGAAAGAGGAGUCCUAGUAUCAUUGUGUUGCAGUCUCCACCCUGUGGUAUAUCGUUUGGCAGAGGAAAAGUCCUACUCCUCCAGAUGGGUCAUUUGGGGAAUCGAAGCACAAGGAUAUAGAGGGAAGAAAGACUCACACGAAGUCCCCAAAACUGUACUUUUUUUUGUCUGAAAGUACUACUACACCUUGUCAUCCAAGGGGGAAGUAUAAGAGGGCAAUCUGGUGGACUGGGAACUCUGCCAAGGACCAAACUUGUAGCAGUAAAUAUCUGGAAGACUAGCAGACUUUGAGAAAAAAGUGACAGACACUUGGUUUUAUGUGGAUCAGCUCACUCCUGUCUUUAUUCAACAUGGGCCCAAACAGGACCAAGAGAAUAAACUGUCCUGCUAGCUAUAGAGGGCACCCUGGAUGUGGGAAUUAUGCUUCACAAUAGAUAAAUGGAUGAACAGACAUUCAUGCAUGUGGGUUCAUUUCCACCUCAGCAUUUGUAUUUUUUUAACUGUUUAUCAGGUAAAUGAGCAAGAUAUAGAAAACCAAGCAUAGAAUCAGUCAGUCUCAAGAAACUGUAGUCAACUGCCCUGUGAUCCCAUCCCUGCAAAGCUAUGACAAGGGGACAUGAAGCACAGCUGGGAAUCCAGGGUGGGGGUUUCUGAAAGCACAUACCAGAGCUGGCUAUGGCCUUUUAACAAAUCUGCACUUGCAAUGACUGUUUCAGCCUCUGAAUUUAGCUGCAUCAAUUAUAUUUGCCUCCUCAUUCUGCUAGUGCCCCUGCAAAAAACACACUGUUGAUGAAUACCGAGUUUAAAACUAGAGUUAUUUUGAAAAAGUAAAAUUCUCCCUUGAUCCUGAAUAACUUCUUCAACCUAACCCUCACAUUCAGAAAAGCAUCCCCAUAUGCCUGCCCAAACUUUCAACUCUCAGGUCAAACUCCUUCUCCUCCAGAUGCCUACCACCACAUGAUUUAGAAGCUACUUCCUUCAGUAGAGAAACCCUGGCUAGCUGCUGUCGGGCUGUUAGAAACAAUAGGGCAAAGGAAGAGGACUGAUCAUAGAACUUCAUCAGUUUGCCUUUCUAGGGCCAAAGUAUAUCACUUUUAUAUCCAUUCCAGCUGACAUGCCCUAGACUUUCGUUUGUGUUCACAUCUAGCCAAACUUGCCCGAAGGAUGCGGACUGUAUCAUUUGAGUGCUGACAGUUUUCCCAGACUUUCCCAUAACACCUUAUGUUUGUCUGUAUGGCUAGACAAGUUCUUCCAUUAUUUCCUGUGAAAUAAGUAUAGAACUGCUGUGUUAAUAAUGAGAAAAUAAUCACAGAUAUAUUCCCAGAAGUUCCAGUGACUGUGAUUGCUACCUAAUUUAAAUAUUAAAAAAAUAUAUAAUAGGGAGACAGAGAAAGAGCUGUUGUAGUGAAGGAUGGUUGGUGAGAAAAUAGUUGCUCUCAGUUAUUCCUGUACAUGCUUUACAGAUGUCCAUUCCUAAGCGCGAUGUUUACAUAAACAGGCCAUGAAAAUAAUACCCAAGUGGUCUGGGCAGGAGUGAGUUCAAACUCAUGCUAUUCCUGUUUAGGUGGGGAUGUUUUUCAGCACUGCUAAGUUAAAAGCAGAGGAGCAUUUGAAGGCAAUUGCUCUUUAAAAAAGAUAAAUAUUGAGAUUCUAAAAACCCAGCAAGUAUCUGAGUAUUAUGUAUUGUAUUGUGAUACACUGCAUAGUAUCGAUGUAUUAUGAAAUGUAUAUAUAUUAUGAAAACUGUGGGCUUGCCUAAACUGAACAAUCACAGACAAGUCAUAUAUUAAGGUAUAGUAAGGUAAAGAGCUGCUACAUAUGCUUUUUGUGAAACAUUUCUAACAGCCGCUUAGUACUCUAUAAACUAUAAAAUCAUUUUUAAUGAUUAGAACUCCUGGGAUUCAUUGUAAACAAAUGGCAAAGGGAAUUUAUGUAAAAAAUAUAAUUCCAUCUACAGGAUCUGAAGGAAGCUAUAUCUUUAUAGAUAUUUGCAUGCACCUUUACAGGCUAUAGUUCUGUAUUUUCUGUGUAACAUGAUGCUCAAAACAGUUAGCAAUAACGACAAGUGGCUUUGACUUGUUUUUUCUUUGAACAGUGCCUUAAUGACCUCUGUUGCAUGAGCACUGUAUCUCCUCUAAUUAUACCUCCUAAGACCCUAUUUGCUUUGUAAGCUGCUGCCAGAGGUAUACCAAAUGUUUCAGAUUUCUAUCUCCUAUCACUCCUGGCUAAUUUACCGGGUUAGUGAAUUUAGGUGUUGUAUUUUUACUCUGUUAUUAUCAAUUUUAUCAAUCUUAUUUUUCUCUGUAUUUAGUGACACAAAUAGCCUGACACGCACACCUACACUUCUGUACUUCUUUCACAUUGAUAAGCAUUUCCACUUACACAUUAUGCAUUUCCUCUCCUCUGGGUUUAAGAGCCAGACAUUACUUUUACAGAGUGACAGAUUCAAAGAUCCAAUAUGGAAAGCGGUUCCUUUUUCGCUUAGUCAUACAAAAUCCCAGAUAGAGAUACAGACAUUUUAGUCAAGCCAUUCUUAUGAACACUAGCUGGUAGGCAAGAAGGGCAAUAAGAAUUAGGUUGAAAAAAAGGAAAUUUCUCAGAGCAGUCAAGGGACUCAACAUUUUGGCUUUAGUUACUAACAAAACUAGGAAAAAUAUGUUUGGAUGCAUACAUAAAAUCUGUUCUUUGCAGAAAAAAAACCCAAAGGUCAUUUUACCUUGCCCUAGAGGUAAAGCAGCAUAAAAAUUCCUUUUAUAAACUCCUGAUUAAAGUGAUUUCUGAAACAGAUGACUUUAGGCAGGAUCAGUUUUGGGGGCAUAGUCUCUGCCCCAUUACAUUGAUUUUUUUUUUCAUGAAGUUUGAGCAGGAACUAUUCAGCUGUUUUGGAAAACAGACAGUAUGAGAAUAACAAGCAUUCCUCAUUAUUAAAAACAUACGGAAAUUAUUUUUGAACAACAUGAGUGCCAGAGCAAGCAGGGGUAGGAAGCUAAAGUAUGCGAGCAGAAAAGAAAAUGUUUUGGAAGCACCAAGAAAACUGUUUAGCAUUUGAUAGUUAUAAAAUCAAAUGUCACAUAAUAGGUCAGAGAAAUCACACUUCCUAAAAACCAUGUGUAUAGAUGAGUGUAUCACAGCUCCAAACACAGUCUAAAAACAUAUGUAGAAUGAAAGCAACAAAAAAAUUGAUAUCAAGCUUAUUUCCGCAGGCUCAGCUAUCCAUUAUGUUCCUAACUCUAUGCUGCCCAAGCAGUAGAUUUGCUCUAACCUUUUCUCCAGAGCAGUCCAGGCCUGAAGCUUGCUCCUUUCUUUUUCAUCUGCUCCUGACAGAUGGGAGGGGAGUUAUCCAUUUUGUCUUCCAGUUGUUAACCUGGUAUAUGUAAUCCAAAACCAAGAGUAUUCAUUAUGAACUCCAGACUACUGAUCGCUUCCUCUCAAGGUAUAGUUUGAGAUUUGUCUACCACCACUCUCUUACACUGCCUUCACUGCCAUGGUUAAGACUGUUUAAUCACAGAAUCACCAAAUGGUUGAGUUUGGAAGGGACCUCUGCAGAUGACAUAGUCCAACCCCCUGCUCAAAGCAGAGUCAUCAACUGGAGCAGGUUGCUCAGGGCUGGGUCCAACUGGGUUUUGACUUUCUCCAAAGGUGGAGACUCCACAGCCUAAGUGACCUGUUCAAGUGCUUGACCAUCCUCACUGUAAAAAAGUUAUUUCUUAUGCUUAAAUAGAAUUCCUUAUAUUUCAAUUUGUGCUCAUUAUCUUCUAUCCGUUCACUGGAUACCACUGAGAAAAGUCUGGCUCUAUCUUCUUUCCUUCCUCCCACCAGGCAUUUAUACACUUGGAUAAAAUCCCCCCUAAGCCCUCUCUUCUCCAGGCUAAACAGUCCCAGCUCUCUCAGCCUUUCCUGGUAUGACAGAUACUUCAGUCCCUUAGUCAUCUUCAUGGCCCUUUGCUGGACUCACUCCAGUAGGUCCAUGUCUCUCUUGCACUGACUAGGGGAGCCUAGCACCGCACACAGCACUCCAGAUGCAGCAUCACCAGUGCUGAGCAGAGUGGGAGGAUCGCCUCCAUCGACCUGCCGCGGAUGCUCUUCCUAACGCAGCCCAGGCCAUCCCAUUCUAAAAGACUGCAGCUCUCUGAAAUCUGCGUUAGUGCAACUGAAGUCAGUGCAGAUGAGGCCCUAACUGUUUUAAAAAGCUCUCAUUCUCAUUUUGCUUAUGAAAAUUACAUAAUUUCUCUUCACACAAACACUGCAGAUCUCUCAUAUUCCAAAAGUGAAACUGUUCUUCCUUUGACAGUAUCCCAACUCCCAUUGAAUCCUUAGGAAUUCCAAUGAAAUUUUAGGACUAAAGCUGGUGAGCAACGGUAGUGCUAAUUUGUUAGAGUGCAGUUGUACAAAAGGCUCUAUUAACAAUAAUAAUACACUUUUACAGCAUGUUUUAUCCAACAAUCUCAGAGAUCAUUACAAACAUUAAUUGAGCCUAACUAUAGCCUGCAAUAAAUUAGCAUUAUUAUGCUAAUUUUAUGGAUGGAGAGAGAGAAAGACAGAGAGGUUAAGUGAUUCACUUAGGAACAGAACCCAGAACCACGUGCACGAAUGGGUAAUCCCAACCAAGAAGAAUUUUUGUCAGACAAAUGGAAGUGGAAUAUCAGACACAAACAUAAUAAAAGGCUUACAAAACCACAUUAUAAUUACUCUAAGGAAGUGCUCACCAGAAAAGAAAAUAGUGUUGCUGUGGACCAACAGCAGGUGAAUUUCUUUCUCUUGAAGGAUUUGAAAAAAAUUAGAAGGCAUAAUACCUGUGUGAAAUAUCUUCGGUAAGCCUCAACAUAGGGUUAAGGUUGAGAGGAAGAGAAAUCUCAGAACUGCAGUUGGAUUGGGACUGGAGAUGGGCUGCCAAGGGAGACCGAGAGCUGCAUAAGGAAUUCUCCACUGAGAAUUUUUCGUCUGGGGAAGUGCAGAGGUUCCUUGCCUAUGGCAAAGCCUAGGGUUACAUUAAGGGUAGAGAGAAAGAUUUGCAUUGUAAUUGUCGCCGUGUUGGUGUUAUACUGUGUUCUUAUGGAUAACAGCUUGGUGGUGUCUACCUUUUGUUAUCAUCCAUGCAGUAAAUAUCAACAAGUAGGAGUUGCUUCAAUUUUAUCACCUUCUGUUUUGGUAGUACCUUUUCCAGAAGUUUGCACCGCAGAACAAACAUCCAUCUAUUUUGUAAUUCUCACUGGACUUUCAUAGCACCAUUCACAAGCACCAGAAAUUUCUUACUGGUUUUGUGGGUUUGCUCAGGUGCUAGAGUUUCAAUCUGUGCUAAAGAUAGAAAGAUGCCAUUGUUAUUUUAUCUAAAAGUGGAGGAUAUUUUAAGUGACCAUUAGGCCAUUAGGUUUGGAUCAAUCAUCUGUUUCAUUCAUGUUAUUUAUGACUUCAAGGAAAAGGAUAGGAUGACUGCAUCCACUUUUCUUUAAAACAUCAAGCUGGAUAUAGACAAAAGGAUAAAACACAGUUAAAAUAAUAAAAAUUCCAGAUAACAUGUCCGUAGGGAACGGCGAUCGGAAGAUCUCGCGAUGGCACGGAAAGAGGAAGGAUAUGACGCAGAGAUAGCAGUAUGCUUGUAGGUAUAUAAGCGAAUGCAUAUGUCCAAUAAACGCCAUUUGUAGCAUCCUCA